CGCCCUGGUCGUGGCUCUGGUUGCGGAUGUGGCUGCUGUCUUUUGAAAUUCCUCUUCAACAUCAUCAUCACUGCUGUGGUUGUCAUUGGCCUUGCUGUUCUUAUCUUCUGGCUCAUAUUCCGCCCGAACAAGGUCAAGUUCCAUGUGACAGACGUCUCACUCACCGAAUUCAACCUCACUACCAACAACACUUUGCAUUACAACCUGGCUGUUAACAUGACAGUGCGUAACCCCAACAAGAGGAUUGGCAUAUACUAUGAUCGUAUCGAGGCUAGGGCUUACUACGAGGACCAAAGAUUAAAUACGCAAACUUUGACCCCGUUUUAUCAAGGACACAAGAAUACUAGUUUCUUGAAUCUCGUUUUCAGUGGGGAGCAAUUCGUUAUGCUUGGUGCUGACCAGACUUCCCAGUUUAAUGAAGAGACGACUAGUGGGAUUUACAGUAUUGAUGUGAAGUUGUACUUGAGGAUUAGGUUCAAGGUUGGCAGGGUCAAGACUGGCAGGUUCAAGCCUAAGAUUUCUUGUGACUUGAAGGUACCUUUGAGCUCUGCCAAUGGUGGCUUGGUUGGUGCCGCUGAAACCACCAGGUGUGAUUGGGACCUCUGAUCAGCAGAACGGCUCUGAUUCAUUUGUUGAUCGAGUCUUUGAUUCUAUUUUCAUAUUGGGAUUUACACUAUUUAUUCUUUUGUUUUUUCUUUUACCCAUUUUAUAUACAGCGGUCUUGGUUCUGAGAUGUACACUGGUUAUUAUGUCUGAUUGUUUAUCAUUUUGUUUCAUGGGUUACUUUUUGUCACAUUUAUGUGAAUAAAUAAUAAAUUUUAGUGGUUCUUUUAAUCUUCCGUCUUGAUAAUGAUUUUGAAUUGAUCUUUGUACGUUUCUCUUAAUCCGAUCUGAACUAAAAAAGUCCACGGCGUACGUAAUCAAAAUUCAAAAGCAAAUGGUAUUAGAAAAUAUACGGCGGCUUUCAAUUGAAAACAGUUGAUACGGUAGAAUCAACAUCAUGUCACAUGUGACAAUCUUGCCCCACCAAGAAAAGCACAUAAAAAUAUUUAAAUAAAUAACCGUUACAUAUUGCCCCACAAUUCUCUCGGGAACGUGUUGUCAAAAUUUCUCUUUAAGCUGAUUUUUAAAGCUCAAUGAAUGAAUAUUGGCAUGUGAUCAACCCUAUGAUUUCCAUAGACUCUAAUUAUAUAUAUAAUUUCAUAAAAAAUGUUGGUUUUUUUCCCUUGGUUUCAUAUAUAUUAUAAACUCACAUUCUUUUAUUAUUAAAAUUUUAUUCAAGGAAAAAAAUCAGAUCGAAAUUCUGUUUAAUAAGACUUAAUUAAAGGCAAGGUUGAUGUUUUACUAUUGUUUGUUUGCAUAUAUUAUAUAUAUAACCGAUGAAGCUCACAAGAAUUUGUAGGUUGGAAAUUUGAUUGGUUUUUUUUUUUUUAAAUUCUAAAUUAGGAGUUGGUAGCCUAAAUAAAAUAUUUAUAUAUAUAUACCGUUGAUUACUUGCUUAAAUAAAAUAAAUUUGCUUUCAAAGAAAAAAAAUAUCCAAAUCAAUAACUUGUCAAUUUGUCACCUAAUAUAUAUGCAGUAUUUUGAAUUCAAGUAACGAAAUAUUUGAUUCUUGUAAUUUUAUUUUUAAAGGAAAUAAGCUUGUCUCUUAUCUCAUCCAAUUUGAGAAAUUUAUCUUCGUCCCUUCUAGUGAGAUGCUUGGUUCUUUUUAGUUAGGUCCAUUGGGUUUUCAUUUUCUUUUAUGUUUUUGGCAAAUACAGUUUUUGAAUAUUUAAGAUCUUUAUUUUAUAUAUAUAUAUAUAUAUGAGAAAUUCGCCCACCGUAAGUGGAGUAGAGUUUUUAGAUUUCAUUCACAAAAAUUAUAGAAUGAUACGUAUUUCUUAAAAUAUAUUAAUUUUUUUAAAUAAUAAAAAAUAAAAUAUAUGAUAAUAGUUUAAUUUUAUUUAUGAAAUUAAAAUUUUUUUUAUUAGUAUAUAAAAAACAAACUACUCAUUUAUUAUGUCUUUGAGGUUUUAGUGCUAAGGUUAAGUCUAAAUGAGCUUUUUCCCGCCUUGGGUCAUUACCCAAUUUCCAUGAAGAUUACAAAAAUUUAUAUUUUGUAAAAUAAUUAAAAAUAUUUUUAAAUUUUACUUGAAUUUAAAUUUUUUGAAAAAUUUUAAGAAUUACAUUUCCUGUUUCUUAAUGAUCUUAGUCUAAGGCUAUCAUAACGAGGGAAAGAUUUAGAUAAAAUUUUUUAAAUAAAAUUCAAGAAGUUUUGAUUAAAAAUUAUUAAAUAAAAAUUAAAAUUGAUAAAUUAAAAAAUUUUAUUUAUAUAAAUCAAUUUUAUAAAAUCUAAAUAAUUUUAAUAAAUUUUUAAAUAAUCAUUUUAAUAAAAAAUUUUAACAAAAUAUUUCCUAUUAAAUAAAUUGAUUAAAUUUAAAUUGUAAUUAAUUUUUUAAUACUUUUUAUAUAUUAUUGAUUUUUAUACUAAAUUCUAUUGAUUCAUCUAUUUUAAAUUUUUUAUUAAAAUUUUAAUUAAAUCCUUUAUAUUAAGAACCUUUACCCUAAAAAACUUUAUCUUUAAGUUUAUUCCUCCCUAUGGAAGUAUCGUUACAACUAAAUGUAUAAUCAAUUGAGUUUAAACCGAUACAAUAUUAAAUUCAAGACUUGAAAUUUAAUUCAAACUCGAUUGAUUUUUUUUUUAGUUUGAGCUUGAUUUGAGAUAAAAAUCAAAUAAUUCGAGUUCACUCGAUUAAGCUCAAUUAACAUAUAAAAAUAAAUUCAAUUAUUUGUAUUUAACAUCGAAUUUGAUUUCAAAAUAUUUUAUUAAUUAAAAUAAUUAAAAUAUAUUAAAAUAUAAAAAUUUGAUUAAAUUUACGAAUUACUUAAAUUAUGUAUAAAAAUAUUUAAACUCAACUCAAUCACUAAGUCAAACUAUUAAAAUUCAAACUCAAUUCAAUAAUAAUUGAAUCAAAUUCAAAAUUUUUUCAAAUCGAAUUCAAAUAAUUUACGAUUACUAAUAUAUCAUUUACGUUCUCAAUUGCAACCCUCUCUUUUGCAAUUUGUCGUUCCCUUUUCCUUUGCAGCCCCAUACUAAUAUACCAUGGUUGAAAAUGUUCAGCUCGGCUUUCUUUACUUCCUUCACCUACAUUUCCUCUCCCCCACCCCCACUCCCACUUUCCCCCCAACCCCCCCAAAAAAGAAACCAUUAACCAAAAUAAAAUAAUUAUUAUACUUACUCACUACUCACUAGUAGCCGAUUUGUAAUAAUGUAGACAAAGAGUAAUUUAAAAUAAAUUAAUUACAUAAUUAAACUACUAUUUCAUGUUUACAAUUUUAAGCAGUAUUUUUACUACCCUUCAAUUCUUAAACUCACAAACCCCACUUUCCUAUCUGCCAAUACAUCGCUCUCCGGCGAGUUCACAUCAUCAUUUUCCGGUGACUGUAUCAAAAUCCCAACAUCAUAAGCAGGAGAAGGCGAAGGAGUAAAGUAAGGAGGCGAUGCACACGGCGUCUCUUUCUCCACGUCAUCAGCCAUGUUGACCACCCUACCCGAGAAACAGUCCCUCAAACAAACCCUUCUCUGAUCAGCAGGAUUCUCGACGCUGUCAGCUCCUUCUCUUUCCUCUUCUUUUAUCGUAUACAAAAUCCUAGACUGUCCGUACAACGCCUGCCACUUCGCCCACUCGUCAUCAUCCUCCACCGCGGCUGCCUCCGAAUCAGCUGCCGUCGCAGCCUCCGUUGGCAUCGGAGACACGACCCCAGAGGAGGGUUCCACACGGGCAGGUCGGUUUUUCCAGCAGAAGAAAUAGAGAAGUUCCUUCGAGGGAGCAGCGAAAAAAGAUGAAUCCAAAAACUCAGAAUCAACGGAGCAAGUGCCUCCUCUGACGACUCUGCGUUGACAGAACCUUCGUUUUCUCCAACGGACAUAAACCAUCUGUACAAUAAGAGCUAAAAGGCAUGUUGCGAAGAUAACGAUGAGGGAUAUGGCAAGCUUGGCAGGAGCACUCAUGGCGAGUUUUUCUUCUUUGAUAUUAUUCACUGUUUUAUCUGAUGUUAAAAAAAAUGAAGAGUCAACUGAGGAUUUGUAGAGAAAGAAAAGGAGAGGAUUUUUUUUCUUAGAGAGGAAAAUGAUGGAGCUUUUUCUCGGAAAAUGUAUGGGGAGAAGUGAGGAAAAAAGUGUUAAAGAGUUGAUGAGGACGAGGAAGUAGAGGAAGGAGUGACGUGGAAUUUAUUAUUAUUAUUAUUUUAAGAUUUUGAAUUAAUUGGGCGGAUUAGAAUUUACUUUCUUGUUUACCAAAGGCAAAACUAUAGUCUAUUAAAUUAUCAUUGUUUAUUAUAUAAAAAAAAGUACCAUAGUUUCUUAUGGAAUUUGUAUAAUGUAGGUUGGACUAGAUUGUAUUUUUAUGAUAAUUAAUAUUAUUGAAUAUUUAAAAAUAUAAUGAAUAAAAAUUCUGAAAACAAGUAAAUCAUUUUUUAUGAAAAUGAUUUAAUAAAAUUAUAAUUUUUGUUCAUUCUUUAAAUAAGUCUUAUUAUUAUUAUUAUUAUUAUUUGUCUAAAUAAAAUUAAUAAAAAAAUCAAUGUAAGCUUUAAUUUUUUUAUUUAUCAAAUACUUUUUAAGGCUAGUGAAAAAUUAAAACUUUGAAGAUAAAAUAAUUUAGUAUAAAUUUUAUUUUAUUUUUAUGUAUUAUCAAAUAAAUCAAUUUAAUGUAAUCCUUUCACUUAAACUAAAAUUCUUACUUAUAAAUUGAAUAAAUCUUAUUAAAAAUAAAAACUAUUUGCAAUGGUAAUUUGGAAAUAUAGUGAACCAUAAUGACUAUUUUAUUCCAUUUAAAAAUUUCUUCAAAUAUAUAGAUAAGUAAAAAUUAUAAUCAAUAAUAAAUUAAAAUGUUUUUUAUUUUAAAUAAUAGUUUAAAAUGUCAAUUUAGAAAUAUAUAUCCUAAUAUUUUUGUACGUAACUAUUUUAGAAUAAUAAUUUUAUAUUGAAUAUAGAGUUACAUAUUAUACAAAUGACUAAACCUAAUAAUGUGAAUAUUAACUGAAAAUUGCAGUGUCAUGUCAAGCUAAUCCUAUUUGCAAGGCAUACGAAAUUAACGUGAAACAUAUUACUUUUAACAUUAAUUUGAAAUUAAAAUUCUAAAGAUAAAAUAAUUUAAUGUAAACUUUAACUCUUUUUUAUUUAUCAAAUAAUUUAAUAACUUAAAUGAAAUUAAGUCGUUCAAUAAAAUUAAAAUUCUUAUUUAUAAUUGCACUUAUUAACCAACAUAAUCUAAACUUUUACCAAAUGUUUAAUUCAAUGAAGCAUCUGAUGAAAAUAGUCAAGGAUUCAUCAUAUAAAAUACUCAUAUAUUCAACCAUUGUAAAUGAAAAUAGCCAAAAACUCAUCAACAAUUAAGCUAAAUGGGAGAUGAGGAAUGAUUGACCCAAAAAGAAAGUAAAGGGUCCGAGUCAAGCAGGUGAGCUGAUCACAUGAACCGGGCUCGUUCCCGUGAAUUGUCUUGUAUGCAUACUUUUGCAAAAAGGGCUUGUGGUUGGGAUGAACAUCAACCUGGGCCUUUGUAUUUUUAUGGUGCCUAGUACUGUUUGGAUUAUGUUCACUUUCGUCGUAGUGUUUGGUUCAAAAAAAUAUCGAUGUUCUUUAUUUUUAUUUUCAUAGAAAAUAGAAAAUAUACUGGAAAACAUGUUUGAUUCAAAAUAUAAAAAAUAAUUUUUAAAAAAUGAAAAUAAAAAUGGGCCAAAAUUAGAGAACAAUCAAUAUAUAUAUAUAUGUAUGUAUGUAUGUAUGUAUGUAUGUAUGUAUGUAUGUAUGUAUGUAUGUUUUGAGCAAUUUCAAGGAAAACAUGAAGAACAAUUGAGAAAUGAGAAAAACACGGGUUUUAUAAACAUUUUUUAAGUGUUCAAAGCACACUCACUAAACACCCAAGAUCGAAUCAUAAUAGACGCAAAAAUUCACUACAAACAUUUUAGUGGGAAACUUGUUCAAAGUUUCUAAUGUCCCUUUAAACAAAAGUUCAAGAAGCAUGAACUCUCUGUUGGAGGGUUUCGCCACAAUAGAACUUCUUAAGGUGCUCGUGCCUCAGCUUUGACUCCUUGACAGAACUUCAAUUACUGGAAGUUUGUAAACUAAAGCAAUCAUGUCAGCGAGCUGAAGAUGUGCUUUCGCAAGUAUGAAGAAACUCCAGGAAACUGUGUCUGCGACUAUAGUAGUAGGUCAAUUCGGCGAAGGUAGUUUCAUUCCUCAUGUGGCUACGGCAAUGGAAAAGUAAGAACCUCCAGUCAGCUUUGUGAACCAGGCGAACCACGCUCAGCAGGAAACACUACAUCAGAUGUCUGAUAAAAUUUGAAUGUUUUUCUUGGUGCUAAUUGGUUUAAUUUUUUAUGCUUUAUUUAAUUUCUUAUUUUAAUUAUUUAGUUAUUAUUUUUAUUUUUUAAAAAAUACAAAUACCAAACAUAUUUUCAUAAUUUUUCAUUUUCGAGUACCAAAUAUAUUUUUUAAAAUUAAAAAAUUACAAAAUAAAAAUUGUUUUCAGAAAAAAAAAAAUGAAAACAAAAAAUAUUUUCUACAGUCAAACACAACAAUCGUCCUAACCUUUAAGGCCAUAUGAACCACAAAAUAAUUUUAAUGUAAAUCAAUUCUCUCCUUCUAUAAUUGAGCUUUCUAUAAAUUUUUAUAUUCAGAACAAUUCAGAUUUAAUCCAAUACUUUUUUUAGUGCAAAGAAAGCGAAAGCUUGAAAAUAAAAAAAGAAAUUACAGAUAUUGUGUUUGAGGUUAAUAUUCUCCUGCUCCCAAUGUCUUAUUCAAUUUGAGUGUAUAUAUAUAUAUAUAUAUAUAAAAGAAAGAAAAAGAAAGAAUUUGGGUUGGAAUUGGAAGGUAUUUUUUAUCAUUAGAUUUGAUGUGUAAACUUUUGAGGCCCAAUGAUGCUGCCUAUCAUGGAUUGGGCUUUAAUUUUUAGAGCUAGACCAGCUGGACUGCAAUCUGCAAAUGGACUGUGAAUGGUGAAACCAUUAUACAGAUGAAAAUUGGUAAUUAGAUUCCUUCACUUGACACUUUCAUGCCACAUUGCUACAUGAAACAUGCACCAGUUCUUGAAAAUUAUUGUUGAAAUUUUACAUGGAUGGUUCAUUCAGUAAGUUUAGUAUAAAACACAAAGUGAAAGUGGUACAGCUCAAGAUCCUCUCUCUCACACUUCCAAAAAUGCUUUAGGAAAACAAUCCAACAAAAGCAGCAUCCUCCAUUUUUUUUUUUUUUGCCAUUCUCUGAAAUCUGAUCAUCACACACAUUCGGGUGAUGAACACCUUACACCCUGAACUAUAAACAAAGCAAAACGAUAACAGAAAACAGCAGCACAUGAAGUACUCCUUAGAUCCCUCACUCUCAUCACUUUCAAAUGUAAAAAAAAAAAAAGCACCAUAUAAAAGCAACAGCUCUCCCCAAAAUGAGAGAAAAAAGUAAUGAACACAAAUAACCGGGAAAUGGGGAUGGCAUGGAGAGGGCAUAUACAUAGAUAUAUAUAUAUAUAUAUAUAUAGAGAGAGAGAGAGAGAGAGAGAUGGUUAGGAUCCUAGAUUUCCCUUACUUUAGGAACCAUAUCUAUAGAUGAGGAGGGAAGGGAAAUGGGGACAGUGACCCUUAUGGAAAGAUCCAUUUGUUAGCUCCCCUUUUCUUAGAGUCUGCAAAAGGGGGUUAAGAUGCGUGGAAACUUUGUCUCGAUGCUUAUGUUGUCUUUUGUAGAUGCCAACAAUCAACAGUCUUUUUUUUUUUUUUGGGGGGGGGGGGGGUGUGGGUUCUUCAGACUGGGAGGGUUCAGAUCUCCUGUUGUCUAGUUUGUUCAAAAAACCUGGAAUUCAGUGCAAAUUACUGCAAUCCCCAUUGUUUCAAUCUUGUCUGCUGGAAAAUGCUUUUCAAAGUACUGAAAAAUUCAUUAAAAAGGGAUCUGAAACAAAAAAUGCAAAAAAAGUUUUAAUUUUCUCACAUUCGUUUGAGGCAAUCAAAUUCCAAAAGAAAGAACCAAAAACAUUUCUUUCCAUUUACUUUGUUUUUGAAUUAAAAGUUGGUUUCUAUUCCCAAGCUAUGUAUAUUUGUGAUUAGGCUUUAAUCGUGGACUCUUUCUAUUCCAUUUACUAGCUUACUACCUGUACGAGGCACCAAUUAUUUUUAUUUUAUUUAAAUUUAAAUAAAAAUAUAAAUUAAUAUUAUUGAAUUAUUUAUAUAUUCAAAAUAUAUGUAACAUAUAAAUAAUAUUAUUUAAAUAUCAAAUCAUAAUAAAAAUAAGAUUUUCUUUUUAAAUUAUACUGAAAAUUAUAAAAAUUCUCUGUUUCAUAAUUACAAAAUUAUCAUAUGACUCAUAUCUUCUUUUUCAUAAAUCUUGGUGAAAUCUUUUAUAAUUCUUAAGUUUUUUUAAGUUAAGAUAUAAAUAAACUUAAAAUUAAUAUUACUGAUAAAAUUAUCUCUAAAUUAUUUCUUUUCAAUUUUUUUUAUGAAAAAUAAUCUCUUGAUUUGAAAUUGUGUUACAUGUUUCACAAUAGGGAUAUGAGUUGAGAAAUUAUUCACUAUUUAAAUAUACAACGGGCAAAUAAGCUUUUGUUUAAAGCACAUAAUUUUAUUAUAUCAAUUAAUCAGAGUAUCAUUUUUAUUUUAUAUGAAUGGAGAAUAUUUAAUAAAUAAUUAGUUAAAAAGCAAAAUAUAUUAUCGGAUUGAGUGAAAAAUCUAUGAAAAAAUAAAAAGUUUGCAGACCACAACGACAAAAAUAUAAAAAUAUGUGUUUUUUUAGUUUUGUAGUUUUUAAAAAAAUUAUUAUAGCUAAAAAAAUAUUACAACUGAUUUGAAAAAAAAAAUCUUAUCUAGUGAAUAGUAUGUUUAGUGAAAUAGUACUUAUAAUAAAAAAAAGUAUGUUAGUUCCUAUAGUAAGAAUAGACUAAUAAAAAAAUAGACUAAAUUAAUAGUAGGAAAAAAUACAUUUAUUUUAGAAGGACAUUGAGAAAACCAUAUAACUAAAAACUGCUAAUAAUGAGGGCUUUCUUAAAAUUGUUUUAGUAUAUAUAUAUAUAUAUAUAUUUUCACAUUUCAUUUAUGAAAUAUAUUUAAAAAUUGAAGAUAAUAAAAUAUUAUUUAUAAAAAAUAUUAAAAAUAUUAAAUAAUAUUUUUAAAAGUUGUGAUAAAUUUAAAUAUUAUGUUGACUACAGAUAAAUUAAAAAAGAUAAAUUAUUUUAAAAUUGAUUUUAAAUUGAGAUGAAAUGAUGUAUAAGAGAAACUUAAUGUACAGGAAAAACUUUUCUGAAAUUGUUUUGCUAUUUAUACUUUUUUUCACAUUUUCUUUGUGAAAUAUAUUUAAACACUGAAAACAAUACAAAUAUUAUUUAUAAAAGAUGUUAAAUAAUAGUUUUAAAAGUUGUGAUAAAUUUAGACACUCAUGUUGACAACAAAUAAAUUAAAAAAGAUAAAUUAUUUUAAAAUUAAGAUGCAAUGAUAUAUAAGAGAAACUUUCAUGCAAUUGUUAAGAUAUUUAUAUUUUUUUCACAUUUCUUUUGUGAAAUAUAUUUAAAAACUAAAAAUAAUAUAAAGAUUAUUUAUAAAAAAUAUUAAAGAUAUUAAAUAAUAUUUUUAAAAAUUAUGAUAAAUAUACUCAUGUUAACUGUAGAUAAAUUGAAAAAAUAAAUUAUUUUAAAAUUGAUUUUAAAUUGAGAUAAGAUGAUGUAUAAAAGAAAGAAAUUUUAUUAAAAUUUAAAUUGGUAUUUGAUUAAAUUUUAAAAUUUUAGCUAAUUUAAUAAUUUUUAAAAUAUAUUUUAUAAAUAAUUUAAAAUUAAUAAAUAUUUUAUAUACCAUCAUAAUGAAAAAUUUUAAAAAUUAUCUUACUUGUUAAAAAAAAGCUAUCCACGUAAACAUUUAAGUCAACAAUUACUAUUUAAUAAUUAUGUAUGUUGUAAUAUUAUAUUUAUAUAUAUAUAUAUGAUUUGUUUCAUAAUUAACAUCUAAGGUUAAGAAAUUAAAAAGGUUCAUUAAAGUUUGUUUAGGGGUGCCAAAAGAAUAUAUAAUAUUGUUGUUAGAAUAUAAAUAUGUAUAUGUAUAUAUAUAUAUAUAUAUAUAUAAUUCUGUUAGAAUAUAUAUAUUUGUGAAAUUCAGGUAUCCAGGUUAAAAGUAAUGAUCAAGAUGAAAUAAUUAAAGUUAUAAAAUCUUCACUAUUGGUGACAAGACCAGCAACUAUAGUAAUUAUUAUUAUUAUUAUUUCACAAUAAUAAAUAAAUAAAAGUUCCUUUAUGCUAGUUGUAAAAGCAUAAUAUAUGCCUCAAGGGUCUUGUAAGAAUAUAAAUCAAAACUUUAUGAUAAAAUUAGAAAAGGGUAAGAGACCUGAUAAAGGAGCAGCGUUAUUUGAAGAAAAUUAAAGCAGAAAAAACCCAUAUCUGAAGAAAGAUACAGAAUUAGAGUCUCCAAAAAGUUAAUUAGAUAUUAUUUAUUUUCAUGGUGGUUAGAAAAGGUUUCCAAAUAAAAGGAAAGAGAGAAAAACCAAUGGCACAUGAAAAAAAAAAAAAGGAAAAUUAAAGAGAUAAAAGAAGGGUAAAGAUUUAAUUGGCUUCCAAAAAAGCAAAAGAUGAGUAGGCUUAUGUCUGAAGUUUUAGACUUCCACUAUCACAAUAUAUUUUAUAUGUACUUAUCCCUUCCUUUUGAGACUAUACAUAGGGGGAAAAAGCCUAUGGAUUUUAUUUCAACGAGAGAUUAGACAAUUAAAUUUGUCAGUUCCCUGUCACUUUUUUUUCCACCCCAAACACGUUGUUCACUGAGCUACGCAUGAUGGACUCACCUUUUUCCCAUUUAAUGUAAUAAGGAAAAAAUAAAAAAUAACGGUGAAAGUACAAAAAGAUGAAUAUAGAGAUCAAAGCUAGACCCUGCAAGGAAGUUUUAAAUAUAUACCAAUAGGAAGGAGUGGGUGAAAAUAAAAAAAAAAAAAAAAAUAAAAAAAAGAGGAGCUUUUGCUUUGAAAGGAACACCCACUUCCUGCUUUUGAGGGAAAAACCAGCUAAACCUAAGUAAAGGAGGCAAGCGGUUUCAGCUUACCCACCAUGCAUGAACAGGAAAUAUCAUUGUUCUAAGAUGAAAUUGUCAGAAGCAGUAAUACUGCCCAUUGGCAUAAUUAAUUUAAAGAAAGCACAACCAAUCAGUAGGACGCUUACGUUGCAUAGGUGGAUAUUGUGAUCGGUGAGCAUAUUUCCUUGCAGCAGCUUUUGCAAAAACCACCCUGUGUGCCACUAUAUUGGUGGGGAAACAGGUGGUUAGUUUGCUAAAACCUUCAAUAAUGCCCUGAAAAUCUAUUUAAAAAGAAGGAAAAGAAUAGAGAGAGAAAUCAUAAAAAACUGAAAAAUUGACAAAACCAUGAAAGAGAGCAUCAAAAUUCCAGGCUGUCCAGCAAGCAUAUUCUAGCAACAACAAUUAAAUGAUCAAGACCAUAAAAAAUGAAUGUAGAGCGGCGAGGGGAAAAAAGUAACAGUGCCCAGUUAACCCGCUACCUGAGGCAUAAUUCUAACAAGAAUACUUCCAUCCACUGUUGGAAAAGCCAAAACACAGUUGUUCUGGGAGAAAGAAAACUGAUGGUGUUAGAUAACAGUUAAAGAACUGUGAAAUAUCAUUGGCCAAGAUAAACUUUCAAGUGACAUCAUAUUUUGAGAUGCUAAUGGAAACCAGAUAACCCUUUUCCAUAUAUUGAAAUUUUUACCAUUCUCGAAAAAAUUUAUGCAUUAAAUAAGCAAUAAGAUGAUAUUGAAGUGAAGACAAACGUGCACAGCCAAAAAAAAGGAAGAUCGUCCCAGGACGAUAAACGUAUCACUUAGGUGACUCCAGAGUUGAACAUCAUCUGCAUGGUGCUUAGCUACCAACCAUUGCCAAUAAGGUAAUUGGAAGUGCCUCUGGUAACAAGAAGACUUGUAGAGAAAGAUUGUGCUCCACUGCCGGAAAAGAUUACAGCAAAAAAUUAAAGGAUGUGCUGUUAAGCAUUUAUCCUUUGCAGGAAGGCUACAACUGAUUAAGUCAGUAUAUUUAGCUUCCAAAACUACUGGUGUAGACACUUUUAUUACCAAAGCAUGUGAUCAAGAAGAUUGAUCAGCAAUGCUCAAGCUUCUAAUGAAAAGGAAAGGAAGGAUCAGCUAAGGGAGCAAGGGUUAGCUAGGAGGCUAUCCGCUGCCCGAAGUCAGAAGGAGGUUUGGGGCUAUAGAACUCUUUGGUGUGGUAUAAAGCUUGCUUAUUGAGGAAUAUAUGGUCUAUACUAUCCAGAGCUGGAUCACUAUGGAUAGCAUGGAUUGAAGCAUAUGUGUUGAAAGGGAGGAGCAUAUGGCAGGUUUCACCACAACAAAGCAGCAGCUGGAGGGAGUUUCUUCAGCUAAGGCACGUUGCUUAACAGUUCAUAAAACAGGAUAAUGGUAUUGAGAUAUGGCUGUUUCCUAGGAAUUAUUACUCAGUAGCAAUAGUGUGGAAUGGCUUGAGGCCAAGUUAGGGGAAGGUUAAGUGGCAUAAGAUUAUUUGGUUCCAGUACCAUGUAUCAAAACUAUCCCUGACUGCAUGGAUGACUAUUCUAAAUCUGCUGCCAACAAGGGACAGAUUGAGAGCAUGGGGAAUGGAGGUGGAUGAACAGUGCUGCUUUUACCAGUAAGGAAGAGAAUCCAGGGAUCACUUGUUUUUUGAAUGUGGGUUUACAAAAAUUGUCUGGCGAGGAAUAUCAGAGAAAUGAUGGAUUAGAAGAAGAGUGGGGGACUGGGCUGCUGAAUUACUGUGGGCAGUCAGUAGAAUGAGAGGGAAAGCAUUGAUCUGAUCAUCUUGCGUAUUGCAUGGAGUGCCUGCAUAUAUCAGAUAUGGAAAGAAAGGAAUUGCAGAUUGUAUAGGAAGGAAGAGGAGACAACGGAGAAAGUGAUUGGUCGGGUCAAGGAAGCUGUCAAAAACCGACAAGAUGCCUGCAUUCGGUGGCUGCUGAACAGCAGAAUAAGGAAUCAAAGGUGGCAGACACAUAUAUGGUAAAGAAAGGAAUGAAGGUUUAUUAAAGGCAUCAUUUAAAGAAAGCACUUAUGUAAUAUUGAUUUCAUCAAGUGCUUGCUUAAGCAAAAUAAUUCAAAUGUUUGAGAAUUUAACUACAAGUUGGCACUAAAGACAAAAUAGAUGCAUGAUGAUUUUACAACAAUGCUCCAAACUACAUCAACAACAGAACAGAAAUAUAUUACAACUUAGAAUUAUGUCUUAUAUAAAUGAGCUAUUGAGCUCUGGCUCAAAAAAAAAAAAGCUAUUGAGCUUUAACUUACCCAAUGAACCUUAAGAAGGCAAAGCAUGUCUCUAUCUAUUUUGCUGCUCCCUGCUCUGAUUUAACAGAAAAACAGGAUCAUGAAUAUAGUCAAAUGUGUUUCCCAUCUUUAAUAGUCGAGUCAAACAAUAGUUUCUGCAAGAAAAAAAUCAGUGGAAACUGGUAAUCUAUUUAUGAAAGGUACAUUGCUAUGCUUUAGAAAUUUUAAGGAGAAAGAAUAAUAACACAAUCUUAUGAAAGACAUGUAAUAAAGAGCAAAAUCUCCUGUGUCAGAGUCAUAUUGAUGUGUUAUUAUGUUGCCGAUAUAGUCAUUGCUUAAACAAUAAUCUGCAUCAUACAAUUGCAUAUAUCACCAAAAUUGCAAGAACAAUAGUCAAGAGUUAACAGAAAAAAGAAUUUGAGAGACAAAAGAAAUAGUCAGAAAAAGUUAAAAUGCAAUUAUUUGCGCAUGGCAUGUCAACAUUUAUGUUCGAGAUUGCAGUUUCCAAAGCCCAAGAAGCAAGAGAAUUUAUGGAGACAUGCCAACAGAAAAGAAGAAAGAAAAAGCCUUAACAUACAAGAAGUUUUAACAUACAUAUCUAUGAUACUAAACAUCUUACACAUUGAAUGUUCACCAUCCAUGUUUUGAAUCAAUAUGCUUAGAUACUGAAGUAAUGGUGACUCAAUUCUUGAACUUGUACUGCUCCUUAGUACCUGUACAAACUCUGCUAAAACUUGGUAUUACAUAAAACAUCUGCACCAAAUUGACGAAAUUCAGAUUACAUCACAAAGAUACUGAAAAACAUAACCAUACAUGCAAAGAUUUUCAUGAGAAAUGCAUACUCAAAUAUCACUGGAUCUUGUCUGUCAUCAUAUGCCGCUAUCUCUACGAUAGUCUGUAUUUUGACCGCCCAGUUAGUUUGAAAAGAAAAUGUUCAUCUAUUAACCAUUAGGAUUAUUAUCCAACUGAUGAAGAGACGAGUUCAAAACUCCAACAUGCGGGUUUAAUGGCGACAUACCCAUUUAACUGUAUAUCUGUUAAUUAAUUGAACUUUGACUUCCUUAUUUUAUAGUUAAACAGAUACAUGGCAUGCACAUGAACCUAGUCAUGGAGUUUUCAACCUUCACCUUUAUUGUAUAGAAUAAUAAUCCUAAUUAGUAUAACAAUAAAAUUAUUUAAAAGCCAACUAAGUUACCCUGUUCUGCUUAUUGACAAGUUUGAUCUGCUGCAAUUCAGUAAUUACGAUUCUAUACCAGAACAAGAUUAAAAAAAUUUGUAAAAAUAAUAAUCAUGGCAAAGAAAAAUGGAUGGGCGAACACAAAAAGUAAGGAACAUAAACCCUAUUUAAAAUCACCAAAACAAUGAAAAAUAAUAACAAAACUCAAUAGAAGAAAAACAAGCACCGAAUUAUAAUUAAAAUAUUUGUUUUUCAUAUAAAAGAACAGAGAAGAAGAACAAGCGAAAUUAUUGAAGUGUUGAAGAGAGAAGCGAUCGACGGAUCGCCAAAGCGAGCGCCACAUGUUGAAGAAUGUGGAGAUCUGGCUUUUGGAGAAGAAACCCUAGAGGAAGAGAACGAAACUUUUUUGAGGGAAAAUAGAGAUUUUACAGUUGAGUUGGGUCGCCGGCGCGAGGGGACUCGAGUAGAAGACGGCUUUGGUUUGGUGUUUUGGAUACGGCUAAUGCUCCGUUGCGGCAACCAACGUUUCUUCCCUCUUUUUUGCUGCGAGUUUGAAAUUACGCCUAACUUAAAACCGACUUAAAGUAAUAAUCCAAGGCAUAUAAAUCGAUUUUAACACACAAAGGACUCUAGGAAUGACACCUGUCCUGCUUUGAAUGGGUUGUGGGCUGAAUUGGAUUUUUUAAGAGAUGACCUUUAGUGCUUGAUGGAUGUGGUCGGUGGGCAUUCUUUUUGGGCUUUUAACUAUUUAACUGGCUUUUUGUGAAAUUUUGGACUGCCGAAAAUGCUGUCGCCGGCAUCGACGAACCCAAUGCCGGCCACGUCCCCAGCUGCGGCGCGAAAGAACAAAAUAAGGGAAUCAAAAACUUCAGAAUUACAAAAAUUCCCAUCAAAACGAAAAAUCCCUUAAACAAACAACACCAAAAUUUUGUUUGAAAACACAAAGCAUAAACCAAAAGCCUUCAUCUGGCCGAAAACAGAAAAAACCAAGAACCUUAUUCUGUGUUCUAUUUCUAAAACAGACCUGGAUUUUUUUUUAAUUCUAAAAAGUCCAAAUCGAUUUUUUUAAUUCCAAAUUUUUAUCACGAAAAAUCAUGUAUUUAGGAAAAUGUAUUACAGGUUUACAAUAAUUCAAAGCAGAUUUGGAAUUUUUUUCAAAUUAUAAAAACAAAUCAAAUCUUAAAAUUAAAAAAAAACGUGUCUGGCAAACAACCAAAAAAAGAAAUAAAUCAGAUCUACACUACUAAAAAAUCCAAAAAAAAUAAAUUCAGCUUUCGCCGUAGCCAGCACAUUCGACAAACGAUAUGACACUACUAACAAAAAAAAAAAAAAAUCCUACCAAAACCUACAUCUGAAAAAAAAAAUCUAAAUUUUUUACUCAAAUAUCGGAUGAUAGAAGGUUGCUAUCAGGUUUCAAGGUCUUUUUUUUGUGGUAAAAUCACCAACGAUGGUGGCGGCGAUGAAGGAAAAGGGAAAAAAAGAAAAGGAGAGUGAAUUUGUUAAAAUUAUAUUCCUACAGAUUGUAAAAAUCAUAAUUAACGCUAUCCAGUUAUAUUAUAUCACUCUAGAAUCUCUAACUUUUUUUUUUUUAAGUUGUUAGUUGGACCAAACUUGAUUAUUACACUUUUAGUUAAAAGUUGGACCAUAGCAGUCAAAUUUUGUCGGCGUCGACAUAUUCUAAAGCAUCGCUCCGACAUUUAACCCCGUUAGAUAAUCUUAAUUAUAGACUAGUGCUAAAAUAAAGUUAGAAGGCAACAUGCUGUUAGUGCAAUGUAUCAAUUUAACGGCUCUAGUAGGUUCAAUUCCCAUUGCAUUUUGAUUUUACGUGUAGAUGAAGAAGAUGCAAUGGUCAUAUAAAUAUGGACUUAAAUGAAAAUAUCAAUACUUAAGUUUUAUUUGAAUUGAUGGUAAAAUUACUUUUAAUAAAAAUAAAAAAUAAUAAUAAAAGUUAUUUUAAUUAUUAAAAAAAUAUUAUAAUUAAAAUAAAAAAAUUAAAAAAAAUUAUAUUAAAUGAAACUCACUUAAAAUUUGUAUUUGAAUUUAAUUGAUAAUAAAAUAAGUUCAAUUAUAUCACAUUGAAAAUAUAACAAAAUUCAAACUCUUACUUAUCAAAACUAAAUGUAAGUAAAAUUCAAACGAUAUAUCAUUUAUGAUUAAAAAAAAAAAAACAAUUCAAAGUGAUUUAUUUAACCCUAAACCAACAAUUCAAAGUUUUAAUGGUAAACCAUUCAACCAUUGAACCAACCACCUCACACGAACGCCUUACAAUCAAGAGAAAGCUCACAAAUUUCCAACAUACAAUCAUCCAUUUUUGUUUGUGGUUAAGCAAUUGGCCCAGGCAGCUAGCAUUGCUAUCCGAAAAAGAGAGAUGAACAGUGUAGUAGAAAAAUAAAGGAACCACUACAGGCCCGGCACUGAAUUUUUUGCUCUACAAUAAUGAUACUUUUUGAGUAUAGAUUUCGGCCGCACAAGAACCCAAAAAAAAAGCCGACCAGCUCAAAGUUUCUGACAUGUGAAAGGCAGAAAAGUCAUUUGUUUUCUUCUCAUUCAAUCAUCAUUUCCAAUCUUCACAAAUGCUUUUUCAUGUCUUUCUCUAUGUUGUGGUAGAUCUACUCCUAUCAUCAUCUCACCCCUUUUUCUUUUUCUCCUCAUGAUUACUUUACCCUUCAUUUUUUUUUUCUCUUCCUCCAUGUUAAUUUGAAGAAUUUAUAACAUUGUUUUUUAGUGCAUCUGCUACCCUUUUCCACAACAUUUCUUCCAUUGACAGUCGAUGACAUGAUGAAAGCUCAUUUACAAUGCAUUGGAGGAAACUAGUAGAUGCAUGUUUGUUUGAGAAUUUAGUAAGAAAAUGUGGACUAUAAGUGAAAUUUUGGGUAUGCAUUUAAUAGUAUUUGAAAAAAAAAAGUUGCAGAAAUGGGUAGAAUUUGGAUUAUGCUAAAGAAAAACUGGAUAAAUUGAUGAGAUGAGAAUUUGAUGGCUGUGACCCUAUUUGAAAUACUAUCAAAGAACUGGUCCUACACCCCUGUUUUGAUGCUGGUUUUGUACUGGUUUUCAUAAUUUUCUUUUCAUAGGCAACCUAUUCCAACUGCCUGCCUACCCCACAACUGAACUUGUUUUGUAGAUAGGUGAGCAAAAAAGCCAUUAGCAUUAAUAGGCGAACAGUCAAUCCACCAUUCCUCACACGGAAGCAAAAUAGUGUCGUAGGUAACUUUUUAAAAGAAUUUCAGAAGAUUUUCUUGUCCACCGGGCAAGUAAGUUUUCAAGUGUUAAGCAGAAUUGACUUGCUUUUGUUCCAUGCUUCUUGCCAAGCUACUUGUGUUGUGAAAAUUCUUCAUGUGAAUUUGAAAUUGCCUUCCAACGAUUCCCAUAAAGAUUCUAACUGAAUUGCUUCCAAAUCUAAGCUUCACGGCUCUCAUCUAUCUACUGCACCAUAAAGGUGCUGAAACAGUCCUACAGAAAAGAAAAGAAGUUUUGUAAAUGGUAGGUUACUUGUCAGAAUGAAAAACAUUGGGAUUUACUGUUGCAGCAGACAAAAAUACUCUGCUUUUAAUUAUUGAUAGAAAGACUAAUCGGAUAAAAACUCCGAAUUGGUUCAGUGGAUGACACUAUAUCAGCCGGCGAUUAUGUAUCCAAGUUCAGGAUUUUGUGUCCGAGUUUCUUUCUUUUUUUUUUUCAUUUACAACCAAAUACAACCUUUUUUUCGAGAGAGAGAUCAGGUGUGUUGUUACGUACUCAACUCAAUCAUUUAAAAAAGAAAUCACCUCACAUCCAUCAUAAAAAGGCAAAAAAAAAAAAGAGAAAGAAAGAAAGAAAAGGAUGCCUAAAAGGAAGAUGAUUUGGUUUUAAAAAGGAGAAUAAAGGCAAAAGGGGAAAAAAAAGAAAGGAAUACUUACUUGGGAAGAAAAUUACCAGCCAGGAAGCUCCCUGGAAUAGCAUUUACUUUAACGCAAUUGCAAAAGCAAUACAACAGCUAAAAAGCAAUGAAUUACCAAAGAAAAAGAGUAUCCAAUUCCUCCCCACCCCGGGGCACAUUUUUCACUUUUCAAAUAGAAAAACUAUCAUCAAUGAUAGUAUCAAAUGAUAAACAUUUUCUUAAAUCGCCAAAUUUAUUACAUCUAUCAAACUUUUUCAUUAAAUAAUGACAGCAAAAAAGCGUUUAACUCUUUUGUUACCAUUCCAUUACAAUAAGAAAAAUGAAAUGACCAUCUUCACCUUCAUGGCCGAAAAAAAAAAAAACACUAAAUGCAGCUCAUACACAGCUUUGUUUAGCAAAUCCAAACCUCUCAUUUGCCAAAUCAUAUUCUAUGUAAUAAUUCUGCUGUUGAAAGCUCCCUAGUAUAAUAGCCGGCCCGCCGUGGAAACGUUGACUGACUCUAUUAUCAGUAACAACCAUCAAACAGACAACAUUAUCAUCAUCAACGAAUGAGAAAUAAUUAGCCAAAGGCAAUGCCAUUUUGGCUCCUCCUUUGAAGUGGAAAAUCAAUUCCGGGAUUUUUACUGACUUAUAGCCUGAAAUAUUGAAGCAUGGCGCUAGGCCGGAUAUGUUUUCCACUUCACGUGCUCUGCUAUAAUUUCCCAUUUGUUUCUCAAACUCUUUUGAGACUAGCUCGAAGACUGGUCUCUCCAUGAAAGUGAACGUUGAUCCUGAGUCCACGAUGGUGCCUCCAUUACCAUCUGAUCCUGGGACCAAAAAACUGUACGGAACUUUCACAUACUUAUCGCCAACAAGAAUUUUACGUAGAGUUACAUAGUAGAACUCUUGGAAAACUGGGUUUGAGGCAACUUGGUUCUUGUAAAACGGUGUGUAGCUAAGACCCCGGGUGUUUGCAUCACCCGAACCAGACCCGGUUUCCAACAACAUGUUGCUGCUGAUGCCCGUGUCAUCGAACCGGCGAGAAACGAGGCAGUAAGAGAAUUUCUUGAGGCCUAAUUGGGAUGGUAAAGACUCAAUGCUCCGACCAAACCCGGCUAUUCCAGCGGGUUGUCGGUUGGAGACAAUAGAGCAUCCAACAAGGAAAUCUUGGGAAGUUUUCUGAGGAAAAACAAGGUUUUCUAGUAAUAGAAGUCCGCCAGUGGAACCUGAACCGUAUUGAAUUAGGUAAGGAGGGCAAGUUUGAGUACAGUUUUUGGAUGUGGGUUCACAGUCUUGGCAACGAGACUCAACGUCAGGACCAAAAAGCCAACUACACUUCGGGUUUUUGCAACCUACAAGCUUGUUGGAAGAUGAAAGUUUCGGGGAAAAAGUGGGGAUUUUUGUUGGGUCGACGUUAGGGAAAACGCAUUGGGAACAAAGGUAACGAGAGGUGCAAGGGAACCAGGAGAGGCUGCUUCCAGUGUCCAUAACGAAAGUGAGGGUUUGAGGCGGAGUUCCAAAACUGAGAGAGAUAGUGUAGCCGCCAUAACUGUGAGGAAAAAGUGGAGCCUUGAGAAGAGAAGAGGUAGCGUUGGUUUUGUGGUGGGGGUGUUUGAGGUGGUGGGCUCUUGAGACAGAAGAAGUGGCUAAGUUGUUAAGAAUUUGGAAGGGAUCGGAGGAAGGGUGGUGGGGUAAAGGAGAGAGGGAGAUUUUGAUGGUGGUGGAAGUGUUGGUGCCGGUGGUGGCGGAUGAUAGUGUUGUGGAGAUGAUAAGGAAAGAGAAGAAGGAGAUGAAAGGAAGAGAAGCCAUGGAUUAAAAAAAUGUUUUCUCUGUUUUUGCUCUGUUUUUUUUUUUUAAGUAGUAUUGGGAUAAAGUGGAAUGGGGGGCCUGAUGUUUCUCUUGUUGUUUGUUUAAAGAGAGAAAACAAGACAGUAGCAACGGUAGACAACUCGGCAGAGGAAUCAUGUUCGAUUUGGGUGACGCUUUUUGGACACUGUAAGAGAGUAAAUUACCAAUUAUGUCACCACCACCGUACCAAAUUUAAAUUAGAUUCAUUAAUUUUUCUUUCUUUUUCAUUUUUAUAAGAAAAAAUAAAUAAUAAAUUUCUAAGCAAUUGAUCAUGUUACAUGAAUCAUGAUGACACGACUCCUUCAUUAAUAAAUAAAGUUGACUUGACUAUAAUAUUUUUAAGUUAAAUACAUUAAAAUUAAAAUAAAAGAUUAUAUUGAAUAGAAUUUAAUGAAAUUAUUUCCCUUCAAUUUGUUUUUAAUAUUCAAAAAAAAUAAUUUUUUAAAAAUGAAAGUCUUAAUUUAGGGAUAAAAUAAAAAAUGUUAAGUGUUAAAUUUUAUAUUUUAAACUUAUUAAAUAUAAUUUUUUAAAAACAAUUAUAUAAAUCAAAUAAAUUAAAUUUUGAAUUCAAUAAUUAAAUUUAAACUCCUUCUUCUCAAAACAUUUUUUUUUUAAAUUCUCAAUAUUUUGAAAGGAGCUAAAAAAGAAGUGAUGUGGAGGAUUUAAAAAAAAAAAAAAUACAUGAAAAACUAUCAAUCUUUCUCACUUUAACAAAAAUUUUCCAAUAUGCAUGACUUCUCCUCUAAGUUUUGACCAUCUAUUCUCUUUCCUUAACCUUGCCUUUUCGCCUCUUUCUAUAAUACCAAACAAAAGAAUACUAUAAAAUUUCAAAAAUUCUAAGUUAAAGUCUUGACAUGGGCUUACAUUGGAAAAAGAAAUACAUAAAAUCAAGUUUGUUCUCAUUAAACAUAUGAUCUUUAAGAUUUUAAAUAAAAUAAAAAUUAUCAAGUUCACCAUUGGAUACAACUCAACCAAUGUCCUUUGUGAUUUCAUUGUCAGCAUUAUUUUCCAACCCAACAAGGCGGUUUCAUUAAUUGUAGAAACAAAAUGUCAAAAUUAUUUUAAUGUAGGCAUCCAAAUUUUGCAUGUUCGAAUUUAUCUAUAUGGAAAAAGUAUCAUUCUUGAUUUACCGAAGAAAUAAAAAUUCUAUUAAGGAAAUUGUUUGACAUUACUUUGUAAUUUUAGAUGAAAUGAAGGAUUUAAUUGUUAUUGUAUGAUAUUUACAUAGAGCUUUAGAUGCAAUAGAGUCUUAUUGUCUAUGACAAUUGUAACUUUGAACAAGUUCUUAAUCAUUUAUAAAUUUUAGAUUGAUUAGCAUAAAUUUAAUGAAAACCUAUGAUCAAAAGUUUAAACAAGGUGUCUUGUGAAACUAAUUGUUAAGGGUUUUUUUUUUUUUUUUAAAUGUUCUCCCACUUAUAAUUAUAUGAAAUUAUAUUUUGUCAAGUACUAUGUCUUAAGUGCACUUAAAUUAUCAUAAAUUUGAAUUUAAAAUUUAAUUUAAUUAAUUUAUACAACUACUUUUUAAAAAAUGGCAUUAAGUAAAUUUCAAAUUCUAAUUCUAACUUACAAAUUUUCUUCCUGUAAUUUUUUUUUUUUGUAAAAAAAAAGAAGUUAAAGGUGAAACCACUACAAAAGUACACAGUCAGCUUUCAUGGGACCGUUGGUGUUGAGCAAGACUUUUUUUGUUCCCAUACGGCCAAUAAGAGACAAAGGAAAGAAGAAUAAUUUAGGGCUAAACAGUGGUAAUUCACGCCAGCCUUCCCAUCAAUUACAGGAAUUAUCACGUUUUUCUUUCGCGCCAUCAAACCCUUGAAUGUUCCCUGUGGAAGAUGACUAUUUUUCUUUUUUUUAUAACUUACUUCAAAAGCAAUUAAAGCAUAUAAAAUUUUUUUAUUUUUCCAAUUAAAAAGAAAAAAAAUUCUCAUCUCUUUGCUUUUGUGGAAACAGGAAAUGGGAAUUGGACCAGAUAGGGCCUUUCAAGAGUUGCGCUUAUUUUAUCAUUUUAUGGGUUGAUCAAACGAGUUAAUGAACUUAUCUGGCUGAAAAGCUCAUCGUUUUAUAUUAUGGAUGGGCUCUGGCAACUUGUUUUCUGCCCAACUGCUUUCUGCAACAUGGGUUAACUUCUCUCAGCAACGGUGUUGCCAUUUGCUGGCAGCCCUUGCAGGCUUGUACCCUCAACGGCUUUUUCAGCCCACUGCAGUUUUGGGAUUAGAGCCUUAUGGAAAUAUUUUCAUAGAUUGUGUUUACGGUUCUGUUGGACUCCCGAAGCCUUAAAAGCUUAACAUUAAGAAUGAAUGUAAAUGAACAGAAUUUUUAUAAAUUUUUUAUGAAUAUAUUUAGUUUUUAUUUGUUUACAUUCAUUUAUUAAACUAAUCAAAUACAAAUAGAAUAUUUGAUUUGUUUAUAGUUAUGAAUAAAUUUCGUUUAUUUUUAUUUAUUAUUCAUUUUUUCUUAAUUUUAUAACUGGAUAUUUGUUUGCUUAAAUUUUUUUUAUUAUGAUUUAUUUAUUAUUUUUGAAUAUAUGUAUAUAUAUUUAUAAAUAUGUUCGUUUAAUUUUUAUGAACGAAUUUAUUUAAUUUAAAAAAGUCAAACACAACUGAAACAAACUUUUCAUCAUUUAAACGAAUCUAGCUCAAAUGUAAUAAAUAAUUUUUUUAUCAAAUACGAAUAAAAUAUAAACAAACUAUAAAUAUGUGUUCAUUCAUUUGUGUUGAAAAACGUUGUAAAUUUGCAUGGUUUUCGCGUUGAAGUUGAUAGAAUUGCUAACAACGUGUGAUCUGAAUGUUGAAUUGUUUAAUUUCAAUGAAUCUUCUUCCCGAUUUCACCAACAACUAGCUAUUGGCAACUUAGAUUAUUUUAUGAAGUUUUCAAACAUAAAUUCUAAGAUCACCAUUUAUCCAUUAUCUUAUAAGCUUCAAGUACGUAAAAAACUGGAUAAUUUGGCAAAACAAGUUAAAAUGCCGUUCCUAAUGAAAUGGAAACAAUGUUAUUCAUCAAACAUUAAUUGGAUCAUUGCAACAUUUUUAAACUACAAAUGGAUUAAUUAUAAAGUAAGAUGACAACCCAUUGACAUCUGCUUGUUCGAGAUUGCUAGAGCCUAGAGUCAAGCUAGCAUUUCCUGAAUUUAAAUACAACAUAUAAUUUUUAUCUGUUCGCCAACUGUAUGUCUCACAACCAAAGAAAUACAAAUGAUCAAAUCCUGGAAAAUUCAGUUGCCUGCAUCGCCUUCGCAAUAAUUUAUCGGGGAAUCUAAUUUAGAAAACUAUAUAUUUAAUGAUAAUUUAUGCUCUGACAGUUUCUUCUCAUAGAUUUUUGGAGAUCAUACCCUUAAUUAUCAUGGGCAUUUUCAUGAAUUUUAAGCAAAAAAUAAAAUUUUUUUUGAAGGUUUUGGCUGUUCAGCCUUACUUCAUGAUUUCCUUUUGUAAAUGUUUUUGACCAAAUUUGUACAUUAUAUUUAAAAAAAAAAAUUUGCGAUCAAGGAUUCUUUUAACUGAUAAUUAUAAAUCCACGUGCAUUUUCUUAUUUCAUUAUCACAAUAAAACAAGAAGAAAAUAAAAAUAAAAGACUAGUAAUUAAAUCUAGAGCAGUACCUGGAUGGCAGGAUGAUGGUUUUGGAAAGAUAAUCCAAGCAACCUAAGAUAAUCUUAUCUUCUCAAAAAAAUAUUUUUAAUUGAAACAUGCAUUUUGGCAAUUUUCAGCGCAUUCAUGUUUGCUUUUCUAAGAAUUAAUUUACUUAGAUUUAGAUGAACAAGAAUGAACAGAGACUGACGCUGUCUAACUCAAAAAGAUUUAAAACCAAUUACUGCCAAAAGAGGCAAAUUAUGGUCAACGACAAUCCCAUUUUCUCAUGUCUAACUUGCAAGUUAAGUAUUUUAUUUUAGAACUACUUGUUCGUUCACACUUCCCACUAAUAAAUAACAAUUAUUAAUUAAUCUUUUAACAUUUAAUUUAUUUCUAAAUUAAAUAUUGCACAUCAUGGUAUUGGUGAAAAUUAAAAAUAAUUAAAAAAGGUUUGAUUUUGAAAAAAGGAAGUUAUAUGAUAAUAUCGAUUAUCAUGGGUGAGUAAUUUUUUUUAUAAAUGAAAGACAAAUAUUUUUAAAACGUUUUAUUAUUAUAAUUUUUAUUUAAUUUUAAGUGAAUUUAUUAAUUAAAUUAUUAUUUAAUAAAUUUGUUACAUCAACUCAAUUAGUUCAGUCAAUGUAAUAUUAAUAUAGAAUAUUGGUAUAGAUUAUGUCACUAUAUAAAUUACUCAAACAAUAAAUGUAAAACAUUAAAUAUAAGAAAGAAGCUCGAAAGAGUUAAGAACAAAAGAAAUAGAAAAGGGAUAUAGGCAACGAUAAAGGAAAAGAUAUUUAAAAAAUGAUAAAAUUAAAGGUUAUUUUUAUUAUUUUAAUGAUUUUUAAUUUUAUACUUAAAUCUUAAGAAUGAUUUUUUUAUUGAUAUUAAUAUUAAUAUAGAAUGUACGAUCUUUAUGAAAUUAUAACACAUUUUGUCUUGAGUGAACAAUUUAUUUGUCUGGAUUGUUAUGAGUUAAAAGAAUUAUUCAUUUGCUUUAGUCUAAAAAAUUCUUUAUAAAAAUAAAUCAAUAAUCUAUCCAUUUAAGAAAUUUUUUUUUCCUAAAAUGGACUUCUGAAUUGUUAAUGGAAAGUGGAAACCGAGCAGUUUGCACAUGUUCCCUGGAGAACGUAGUAUAAUAUUUAGCACUAAAAAACAGAGUAUGAGCCUGCUGGCUAAAGCUAAACAUAAUAAACCAACUGCACAAUAACCGUCAAGCCAUUCAUCCUUGAGACUGAUCAAGCUUUGAAAAUCUCGAGAACAAUGAAAAAAAAACCAACACAUCAAUAGAAUUUGACACAAAGCCAUCAAUAGUUUGACAGCAGAUCGCACAGAGGAAAAAAAAAAAAGAAAAACCACCCUGUGCUGUCCUACCCCAUCUCAUCCCAUCCCAUUCUGCUCUGUUUUGUUCUCUUCUGUCAGCGUGCGCUCGUGCCAUCUCCACGAUCCUUUCUAUGCCUUCCUGCGUCGGUUACGCUGCCGGCGGCUUGUCCCACACCAGUGUCUCUAUCUCUCAUGUUGUGGGACCCUCUCCCUCAGCAACAGUGCUGCCUGUAAGUCUCUUUCAUUUAAUCCCGUGGGGCCAAUUGCCCACGCCCCCUUUGGCAGACCCAGCUCCUUCGGCCAUUUCGGCCCCGUUAAAAUCUUAGUCGACAGGGUCGGAGAUCUUUCCACAACGGUUGAAUCUAACGGCAGUCAUACCCUCCACGUCCAAGCUUGAGGUUGACAACAUUUGUCGAUUACAAAAAAGCAAAAAAACAUAAAAACCGUCACCGUUCACAAAACAGUACCUUUAUUUUUUAAGACUAGAAGAUUAACGUUGCCGACCGUUGUAAUUUUGGUUUGUUUACUGGCUGCUACAUGUGUGGAUUAUGAACUGGAAUUUGGAUGAACUGUCACGUACUUUCUUUGAAAUUGCUUUAUCAAUGUUUCUUAGUAUUAAAAGUAAAAACGAAGAAUACUAUUUGCUUUUCUUGAAAUACAAGCAAAUAAUACGAAGAAUAUUGUCAUAACUCUUUGUUUUCUCUGGUCUAAAAGCAACUCACUUUUUCAUUACUUUGGUAUAUAUGUUAUGAUUCCAAUUUGCAUGAACAAUAAUUUUUAUUUAAUAUUUUUUUUUGUGUUAUAGUAUUGCAUUUUGUUUUCAGAUUACUCUUCAUAUGAAUAUGUAAUAGUAUUUUAGUCUUUUAUGGUACACAGGAAAUUUAGAUGAGAAAAUUUUCAAUAUCAGUAAGUUUUAGAAGUGGUCUGAUAGCCAAACACGCCAUGGGAGGGAGCAUUGCAACAACAAGCAGCGGAAAUAUAUGGAGUGAUGCAUGGCAUGGGUCUGCUUAUUAUUAUAUCAUCACAUCAAUCAAUCAAAAAGCAUAAAUCAAGCAAAAGCAAAAUCAUUACAUUUGUCAGUACAUAAGCACAAGAUCAUUCCCCAAGGAGCAUUUCCAUUUCCCAAAGGCCCCUUUGCCUUUGCCUUUAUUUAUAAAAUUUCACCUGCUGGCUCCUAACAGCCCACGUGGAAUUUUUCAUUGUAAAUUAGGUCAACAUUGUUAGUUUCAUAAUUAUCUUUUGAGUGUUUAACUGUAGGCUGUUCUCAUUAAAUUCUUUUUUAAUUACAGUGAAUUUUUUUAUUGCUAAAUAAAAGAUAUCAGAUAAUUUCUUUAGGGCAAUAGUUGUUCUAGAAUUUUAUUAGUUACGUAUUUUACAAAUUAGUCAGAAGCCAUUAAAUUAAUGUGAUAAUUAGUAUGUUAACAUCCAAUGAAACAGUGCCUUUGACCAACUGACUUUUUGGGUAAAUUAAUAAUUUUACUCAUCGAAGGCAUGAAAUUUUUUAAUUUUAUAAAUAAGAUUAAGAUGAUAAUAUAUAUAUUAUUUUUUUAAAAUUAAAAAAUUUUAAAUAUAUAAAAAAUAUAUGUCAACAUUUUAAUUCCGUUUAUAAAUUUAAAAAAUUAUUUUUCUCAUCUAAGACAUCUAAUUAAUAAUGAAAAAUUAUUUGAUACAUUGAUAAUCAAAUUAUUUAAUUUUAUAAGUAAGAUUAAGAUAAUAAUAUAUGUGUUAUUUUUUAAAAAUAUAUAAAAAUAUGUAUUAUUAUUUUAAUCCCAUUUAUAAAUUUUAAAAAAUUCAUUAUAUUUGUUAAUUUCUCGCUAAGAAUUUACUCCUUUUUUUUUUUGCCAAUUUAACAAGUUGGUUUAAAAAUUAAUUACACUUUUCCAACUAAUGUGGGAUAUUUAAUUAAUUUAAAACUAAGGAAUUGGAAGCCCUUCAACCGGCACUGGCAGGCGCACCCAAAAUAUUGGGGUUUUUUUAACACGUGAGCGUCAUGCUUUUCUAAUUAAACAAGACAAAUGCAUUAAUUAUUUUAGAAAGAACAAUAGUGAGAAACUUAAUUAUUAUUUAUUUUAAGAAAGAACAAUAGUAAUGUUCUAAUUGAGAUGGAAAAUGCCACAAUGAGGUUGCUCUCGUUUAAUUCUUAUGAGCUACUUUCAAAAUCUUAUAACAACAUAUGCAUACAUAACAUGCAUUAUUAUAUUGAAUUCUAUGCUAAAUCUUCAAUGGAGUUGGGAUGAUAAAUGAUAAUAAUUUAUAAACUCAAACUCCACUUAUUGUUGUUAAAAGAUUAUGGUUUGUCUCUAUUUUAUAGGUUUGGUUUCGUGAUAGUGAAGUUAAGAACCAAUAAUUUUAUAUUUAAAUAUCUUGUUUCAUAUCUGAUAAUUUUUUUUGUUUACAAAUUUUAAUUGUAUAAAAAAUAUAUAUGUAAGAAAAUAUUGGUAUUAUGUAAAUAUGAAUUGAUUUCAUACUUAACUGAAUGUAUUUCAUCAACAAUUUCUUAUUAUAAUCAUUCAAUUAUAAUAAAAAAUAUGUAAGGUCACUAUUUAUAAAUAUAUAUUUCAUAUAAAAUUUUGAUAAAUUUCAUACAAUUUUAAAUUGUGAUUAACUAAUUAUAGUAUAAGAUGGUACGUUCCAUAUUUUAGUAUGUAUUUAUGUAUGUAUAUCAUGAUUAAUAUACAUAGGCUUUUAAUCACGAUCUUUUAUUCUCUUUAAAGAAACAUUAAUAUCCAACGUUUAUUUAUAAAUUUAAAGAAUUCAUAAAUUAUGGAUUUAGAGAUUUUAAGUUUUAUUAUUCAUUGGUAAAAAAAAAAGUUUUAUUAUUCAAUUUUUAACUUUUAAUUUUCAUUCAUUAUAAUUGAAAAUUUUACAAAAUUUUUUAAAAUAUGAAUUAUUGUAUGUUAUAUAAAUCAUUAUUCAUGUUGAUUAAUCUUAACCAAAGCCGUGCCAAAAAAAUUGAAUAUUUGAAGGAUUUGUAGUUGAUGUAUGAUUAAUAUAUAAAUAUUAUAUAUUAUUAAUGAAUCAUAUAGUAUCAUUUUAUAAAAAAAUUUUUAAUAUUUUUAAAGCUAAGUAUUUUAUUUUAAAAAUUUAAAAUAAACUUUUAUGAAAUAUUACCAUGUUAUAUAUUGAUAGCAUAUAGCACUCGUACACCGAAAUUACAUCAAACUCAUAUUGGAAAAGUUUAUAUUAUCCACGUGGAUGAAAACUACUGGCUGACAGUGUAAAACCGAGACAAAUGCAAGGCACAUCACUAUAGUCUCCAUUUUUCCAAGUUCCCACUUUGGGUUUAUUUUGCUCCGUUAAUCAAUCAAUAAAAGUGGUCCCUCUCUGUCCAUAAAAAGAAAAUCGAUAUUUUCAACCUUGAAAUUGAAUUAUUAAGAGACGGUAUUAUAUUGUUGAAUGUGGGGUUGGAAACAUUUUUCUGUUCUACAUGCUUACCUUGUUCUGAUUUCUCAACUUUCUUCAAAGGACAUCAUUAUUGUUGGAGAAAAAAAAAAUAGUGAAAGAAACAAAGAAAGGAAGAAAGGGAAGAAAAGAAGGAGAUGGAAGAGACAGAGUCCAGGUUUAAAAGGAUUUGUGUGUUUUGUGAGAGCAGUUCAGGGAAGAAAUCUAGCUACCAAGAGGCUGCUGUGGAGUUAGGCAAGGAACUGGUAAUUUAAACAAUCAACUCUUACUUUUUCUUCUUUUCUUUUCUUUCUGAGGAUAAGUAUUUUCUCUCUCUUUUUUUUUUUUUGCUUCGUUUCAUUUGCAGUUUUCAAGAGUUUCCCAGGAAGAAUAUUACAAUUCCAAUUUGGACACUUUUUUUUCGUACUUGUUUUCAGAACUAUAUUCCAACAUUCCCAUCUCGAACUGCGAUUUCCUAAUUCCCAUUGCUUCCAACAUGGAACAUUGUUUUGUUUUCUAGAAAAUUUCAUUCAAUGAAUGAGCUUGGUGCAAUUCUUUGCCAUAUACGAGGAAAACACUUUCUUCAAUCAUAUCCACUAACUCCUUUCUUAAGUUUGUAUUCCUCUUAGAUCCUAGAAAUGAUUUUUUUCUUUUAUGAAUUCUUUUCUUGUUCUUCUCAAGUGGGGGAUGUUGAAUGCUGAAACAAUCAAGCCUUCGACGUGCGCUUAUGAUUGUAGAGGGAAUUAGCUGUACAAGGACUAAGGAGAGAAGGUUUAGAGUUUAUGUUUGGCAUGAGAGAGAGAGAAAGAGACGGACUUUGCUAGCUGUAACCUGCCUGUCAGUUGAGCAGCCUUCUUGCAUGAUCUUUUGUUUAUUUUUUUUAAGAACCCUUUGAAAAAUGAAAUAAUACAGUAAUAUUAUUAAUAAGAACUAUAAUAAUCAAUAAUCAGAUAUUGAAAAUGAAAAUCAGAGCGUGUUCUUCCCUUUGGCACUUCUUCAAAAAAACCUCCAUGAUUUUUGUUUAUGGGAUUCCAUGAAAAAUACUUAUAUAUUUAUAUAUGUCACUCAUUUUGUAGGGUUUUGUUUUGAUCAUUCCCUUUCCACUCGACCUUAUAAUUGUUUUCUCAAUUUGUUUAUGUUUCCUAUUGUUAAUUAUUCUAUAGACAAAAAAAUUUUAAUGUUUAUGUCCUUGUGACACGUGUUAAUAGGGUUUGAUUUGAUGCAUUUUAGAAAAAUGGUUUUUUUUUUUGGAAGGUGGAGAGAAGGAUUGAUUUGGUCUAUGGAGGUGGCAGCGUGGGAUUGAUGGGUCUUGUUUCUCAGGCAGUUCGUGAUGGUGGGCGCCAUGUUCUAGGGUUUGUUUUCUCUCUUUCUCUCUCCUUUUCUUCUUUUAUUGUCUUCUUGUUUUUAAAAGACAAGCAUCAUUGUAUAUUUUUUUUAAUCUCAAGAUAUGGGUAAUGAUCUUUGUGUUUUUUUGUUUUUUGGACUUUGAAAUUGGUUUCGAGUGUUUGACAUUUUUAAAGAGUUUUUCCUUCUUGAACCAUGCAAAAUUUUUUUAAUUAUCUAUGGCAGUGGGACGUUUCUCAACAAAGGCAGACAUCAUGGGAUCAAAUGCUGCCCCAGAGAUAAUAAUAGAAUUUAUUUGUCCCCCCCUUUUUCACAUGUGUAAAAGGUUUCUGUUUCGAGUGGUCAAAUUGGAUUUGUGCAGAAAGGAACAUAGUUUAUCUCGUACAUAUAUACUACAAGAAUCUGAAAGUGCCUUUACUAAAGUUUUUACAAGGCUUUUUUUAAGCAGCUUUGAUCGGCUGGGAAAAGUGAAUGAAACACUUUUGGUCCUUGCAUUGUCAGUCCACAAUUGUACUCCCAACUUCCUGUUAGAGUUCAUUUUAAAGUUGUAGACUCUAUAAUCUUUGAAACUCUUUUUGCAGUCAUUGGAAUGGAGCCCCUCCUUUUGACAUAACUAAUUGCAAUUGUUACAGUUAAAAUGACUUAGAUGCCCCUGGACAAAACAUAAUUUUUUUAUAAUUUGUAGUCUAAUUUCUUCCAAAUUUGGAAGUAAAAUCUACUAUAUUCAAUUCUUUAGUUUAUGUCCUUGGAAUUAAUGGUACUGAUUUAUGGUCGGUGGAUUCUGCAGUGUAAUUCCAAGGACCUUGAUGCCGAGAGAGGUAAAUAUUUAGAGCCUUGUAUCAAACCGCCAACUUGAUCCGAGUUGUCUGCAGCAAUAUUAUCUGAUUUCUAUUACCCAUGAAAUCGAUCAUUUACAAUGACAUGGCUGAAAACAUGAUAACAUGAUAGUUUAGCUGUCCAGCUGUAGCUGUCAGUUAUGUAGCCUAAUGAAUAAUGAUAGAACUAUAUUAUGGCUUACAGAUUCCGAUCGUAAAAAUAAAAAGUGAAGUGUCAACAUCUGAAAGCUGAGUGCAAUGAAAAGUUUUUCACUCGGUUCACUUUCUGUUAACUGGAUCUGCCAUGUGCGUUCAUAACACUAGGCAGUUAGUUGCUGCAGUGAUUUGUUGCGUAGUGGAUAUCUGUUCGAUUGUUUAAUUUCUUACUUUUUUUACUCUUGUUAUUUCGAAUUUAGUAGUAAAUUUUUAAUGGAAGGUGUUGUUGCAGAUUAGUGGUGAGACUGUUGGAGAAGUAAGAGCUGUAUCUGAUAUGCACCAAAGGAAAGCUGAAAUGGCACGACAGGCUGAUGCCUUCAUUGCACUCCCUGGUAUGAAUUCCUAUUUGAUUCGCACAUCCCCUCUUAUUCUUAUAUUUUGCUGUCUGUAAUUUAUCCAUUGAUCUGGAUGUCAUAAAUAUGUGCGGCAAUACGUGCUUACAUCACAGUAUAAUUUAUUAGAAAUGCUUGGCUUGGAAUGCUCAAACAGUACUUUAUACUUACGUGUAAAUAUGAAAUGUUUUAUUAAAUAUCAGGUGGCUAUGGCACCCUGGAAGAACUGCUGGAAGUUAUUACAUGGGCUCAGCUUGGAAUCCAUCGUAAACCUGUAAGAAAUAUUUUACAUUUCCCUCUUUUUUUUUUUUUUUGGUUAUGUCGUUCAUUGAGUAUGAUGGAUUGGUAGACGACAGAUAAGAACUUGGUCUCGAAUAAAAAUUAUUUGGUCGCUUAACAAUAAUUGUAGGAAAAAAUGAUUUGCAAUUAACAGUCUAAAAUUAAAUACAUAAAUAAUUCUCCUUAUAAGUGGUAAAAACAAAAUCAAGGCAAUGGUAGUUUAUUACAGAGAAAAUAAUUGAGGUUGUCAACUACAGAAACAUGUGGCUUUCCUCAACAGAUAAACAAAUGGAUUUUUCACCAUAAAAUAUUUGUUGUUCAACUUUUCGAUCAAUCUAAUAUAUUUAUUAUCAGCCGUUCCUACGUUCACAUGACUUCAUGUUUAAUUUUUUUUGUAGAACUCAACUUGGUUUCUAGUCUCACAUUAAUGUAUAUUUCUAUACCGUCACCAAAUCUCGAGUACAUUGAUGUUUUUUAGGUAUUCCAUGGUACUCUUAGAAAGCAAAUAUGACACUAGUUUUGGUAAAUUAAUAUCUUAUAAAUGGUGAUGUAUUAGGGAGAAAAACUUUAGAAUCAAUUCAUGUGGUGCUUCAAUAGAAUUCGCAUGGAAAGAUAGCAUAAGAUUUGAUAACCUAAUGAUGCUCGUGCUUCAUGAUUUAGAGAAUUGAUUGGGAGAAAGGUUCUUACAUACUAUUUAAAAUUAGGAAAAAAAAACAAAUGUUGGUCAAUUGAAGGUUUUGGUAUUGUGUCUUAGGUCACUAGACAAGCCAAUAGUACUAUAAUUUGAUAUAAUAGACUUGGAUAUCAUACUUAAUUUAUCAAAUAAUUUAAAAGUAAGUCGUAUUCCUUUGUAGGUGGGUCUCUUGAACGUGGAUGGAUAUUACAAUUCUUUCUUGUCUUUCAUCGAUAAGGCCGUUGAUGAAGGCUUUAUUUCCCCGACUGCACGUCGCAUUAUCGUGUCUGCCCCAACUGCUAAACAAUUGGUCAGACUACUAGAGGUAAGCAGUUCCUUCUAAAAUAUUCAAUGGCAAAUAAAAAACACUUCAAGAAAAUGAAUAGGAAACUCACAUGUUUGAAGGUUGAAUGACCCAAGUUCCAUGGCAUAGACUAAUUUAAGUAGAAUCACAUGUACCCUAAUCCCCUAUCAUUAACCAUUUUUUCUUCAAGCAAUGAUGUCCCCCACUUUUCCAUUGACUAAGGUUUUCUAUGUUAAACAGGAUUAUGUACCAGAAUACGAUGAAAUAACGUCAAAAUUAGUAUGGGAUGAAGUGGAUCGGUUUAGUUACGUACCCGAAUCCAGGGUUGCCAUGUGAUACAUAUUGCCUCGGCUUUUUUUUUUUUUUUCUCAGCAUACAUAGGGGUAUAUACGGUCGUAACACCAUACAACCAGCAAUACAGGAACUUUUUGGUGGAAUUUUGGAACUUGAUGUUCGUGGAGGAAAGAUGCUGUGUCACUUUCCCACUUUGUGAAACUGUGAAGAAAUGAUCAUCAAUUUAAAACCCACUAUGACUACUAGUACUAGUUACGUUCAUAACCAUUAAUUCAUUAAGCCUCUCUUAUCAAUAUGCUUAAGUAAGAAAGAUGAGUAAAGAAAUGGUAGUGCUUGAUUAAGUUGGCCUCCAUGCGUAAAAAUAAUUAGGCAUUAGGAUGGAAUUUGGCUUCAAUACUCCUUUCUUCUCUUAAGAUUUCGUACAUAAUAAUCCAUGAUUAUAUUCAUAAAUUAAAAAAAAAAAUCAAUGAACUUUGACUUGUAAAAGCAAAAUGAUAUUCAAAUGUUGGUUUGUUUAGAUAAUUGGACUUCAAAUUUGAUUGAGUUUGAAUUCCUUAUUCACCUAAUGAUCAUUGAAAAAGUAGUUUACCGAUUCAAACCGAAAGGAUUCAUGAAUCAAGACCAAAAUUUAUCAUACAUAUUAGAAAAAUAGAUUAAUAUAAUUAUAUUAUAAUUUAUUGGAUUGAUUAUUAGGUGUUGAAAACGGUGUUUAAGGAAUAUAUUUUCAAAAUAUUGAUUUUUUUUAUUUUAAUUAUUACAUAUGAUGUGUAACAAAUAAUUAAUUUUUUUCAAUAAUAUAAUUAUGUAACAUAAUUUGAAUGAAAGUGAUAUAUAAUGAUAUAACGUAACUCUUUUAUAUAAUUUUUUUUCAUUUUUGAAUUGGCGUACUUGUUACAGAGUCAUGGGAUCAUGGCAAAUUGUGUAAAAUUUUCUGUUCAUUAUCUAAAUCCUAAGCUAUAAUUUUAAUGUUUCCCGUCGUGGUCCUCUGAAUCCUCUCAAAAUCAAAAUUUACUGAAAAAGCUCAAAAUUCAAAACUCAUGUUUACAACCGAUAAUGAUAAGGAAGAUGCACGUGUCACAGAUUUAAGGAGAAGUCUCGAAUCUCUUAUCGAAUAUAAAAUGAAGGUUACUGGGAUGUAAAAGGGUUCGCACCAUCUCUUCUUUAUGAAAUGUCUUUUGUAAGAUAAAAUCGUGAGAUCAAAAGGGUCAGAACGGAUAAUAACUCACAAUAAUAUAAAUCGUGACAAGUAAAUUGAUCUGAAAUGUCGGAUGAGUGAAUGCUCAGAUCUCGAAACCGCGCGAGUCGAAACUUAAUCUUGACCCAUGAUACACGUCCAUGCCCAUUUUAAUUUCUCUUAUUUAUUUGUCAUUUAUUCAUUUGAGAAUUGAUAAAUUUGAUUUUAAUAAAUUUAGGAUUUAAUUAAGUUGAUUUAUAUUUUAUGCAAGCAUUUUAAAAAUAUAACAAAUAAAUUUAAAUUUAAAAUUUAAUAUUUACAAUUCUUUUUUAUAUUUAAAUUGUGAUUUGAUAAAAAAAUACUGACCUUAAAUUAUGUAAUAAAUUAUUCAUGCAAAAAAAAAGAUAAAUAAGAAAAAAAUGAAUGAGCACCUAAAACCUAAUAAUUUGAGCUAAAUACUAAAGUUUUAUUUAUUAUAUAGUUAAUGUUAUAAAUAUAUCUCAAAAACAGUGAACAUAGUUAUAAUCUAAAUCGAUAAAACUUUGAUAAAGUUUUUUAAGUGAAGUUUGUGAAAAUUUUUUUAAAAAGUGAUUUAAUAAAAAUUUUAAUAAAAAAUGUAAAUUAAUAGAUUAAUAAAACUUAAUGUUAAGAUCAAUAAUAUAUAAAAAAAUAUUUAAAAUAUUUUUUAUAAUUUAAAUUUGAUAAAAACAUACUUAAUAAUAAAAAUUUUAUCAAAAUUUUUAUGAAAAGUACUUAUAAAAAUAUUAAAAUCUAUUAAAAUUUUACACAUUUACUUUAUGUAAUAAGACCUUUAAAUUUAUUAAUUUAUUAAUUUUUAUUUUUAUUUAAUUAUUUUUAAUAUAUAAUUUUAUAAAUUUCACCUAAAAAAUUUUAUCUAAAAAUUUUCUUCGAGGUUUAGUAUUUCACGAGUCAACAGAAGGAAACAAAGCCGUCAAUUGUGUUCCAUAAAUCAUGUUGAAUUCAUAUGUUGCUUUUUCAAUGACAAUAAUAUAUACUAUCACAUGCAUGUUACUGGGAUUGGAUUGGAAUGGAUUUUUGUUCGUUUCAAAUUCAAUUUGAUUUUAUAUCUAUAAUAUUUGAAUCAUAUUUAAUAUGAUAAGAUUUUUUAUUUUUUUUAUCCGAUUCAAUCCGACAUCAUAUAAAAUUAUAUUCGAUUCGAUUUGAUUUAAAAUUAAUAAAAUAUUUUUUAAAAUAUAAAAUAUUAUUUUUAAUGUAAAUAUAAAAUAAAAAAUAAAAAAUAUAUACAUAAUUAAAUAAAUAAUUAAAAUAAUAAUAUAUACAUAUACUGGAUCGGGAUAAAUUUACUUAAGAUGCAACUCGACUCAAAACUUAAUUUUAAAAAAUAAUUGAUCCCAUAAAGGCAAAUCAGAGCAAAAUACAUCGAAGACAUGUCAGAAUCUGUUGAAAAAUGGUUAGGCUAUCAUCCAUAGUUGGAGUAAACAUUUUUUGGUAUGUCAUAUGAGAAAUACAAAUGAUGUUCCUUUUCACAUGUAAGAACUAGGGGUCAAGAAAGAUAUGACUUCUCAAAUUUUUUUUCUGUCAUUAUUAUGUUUAAAUUGGAUUAAAGACAUUUAAAUGUUGAUGUUUGCAAAUAAAUGAUUGUUUGAUUUGUAAAUUAAUUUGGAUGGUUUAGCAUGUGAACGUUUAUAUGGAAAAAGGGCUUGCAAUAGGUCAUGCCUUGGCUUAAGUCUUAUAAAUAAUGCAAGAGUAACACUUAUACCUUAAAUCAAAUUAUUCAGACUCAUCUCUAUUUUUUAAGCUUCGACCUUCCCUUUAUCGAAUGUAUGUAUAUAUAUAUAUAGUCAUACUUGAAAAUAUCUGAAUUUGAGGUGUUCAAUGUUUUAUAUUUUAAAUAUUACAUUAAAAAUUUUUAAAAUUUAAAUACCAUAUUACAUAUUUUAUUAUAAUUUAACAAUCAUAUUAACCCUUAUAAUUUAUAUAACGCGAGAUACAUGAUUGGUCGUUGAUCCAAGUGAUGCUACUUGGAUAACUUAAAGAUUAUAUCUUUGUAAUCCCACAUCAAGAUUCUUUGGAGUCAGCCAUAUCUAACAGACAAUCCAACAGGUGACAGCUGUAGAGCCCUCCCUAGUUUCAUCACGAAGCUGAGUAUUUAAAACAAGUUGGAAAGCUUUUAGAAAAUGGCCAGGAAAGAAAAAUGGAAAAGAGAGAAAUAAUCAAUUUUCUCCCCUUCGCCUCCAUGACUUUCAGCAUUCGUCAUAAUUACCUGGUUUCUACUAAGAUCCUUUGGGCUUUGGUAAUGCAGAAGUCAGGAGUAGAAUUUUGACCCAGCGGACGGUCCCACCUAAAGCAGAAGCAUAUGAGCCACCGGGGCCAAUGCCCAUCGCUCAUCGGGCCACUCUGAUUAUGCAUCAAAGUCUUGCUCAGUAAAAGUGGGUGACAAAAAUAUGAUUGGUUUUCUUUGUAAAUGCAUUAAAAAAAGCGCCAAGCCCAACUUAAAACAUGAUUAUUCCCCAGACAUUACCGACAUUACCAUCCAAAGCUCGUGAUUGACAACAGAUACUUAGAAACAAAACUCAUUUAGACCAUUACUGAUGAACACAGAUAGUCUCUGCCUUCUUCUUGCCUAGUGGCUACCCUCAAAUUGCUGCAAAGUAUUCCUUGCUCAGCUUAGGGUCUGGUUUCAUGGAUUUCUCUCCGGGCUUCCACCCAGCUGGGCAAACUUCAUCUGGAUUUUCUUGCACAUACUGCAAGGCCUGCAGGAGUGCAAACCAAAAAAGAAAGGCAAAAGCAAAUUACAAGAUGAUACAUGCUAGAAAGGAAACUUUCAACAUAAAGUAACAUGUAAAAUUUCAAAAAUCAACUCCUAGAACCUGUUUGGAUGCACCUCCCUCCCCCCAAACAAAAAAACAUGGCACUCGGCACAAGAGUCAUGCAUCCAAUCGGGACUUUAGUCAAUUGCAGUUCUGGCCUACUAAAAUAUAAAAUUACCUGGAGUGUCCUCAUUGUUUCAUCAACACUUCGCCCAAUGGCAAGGUUGUUAAUAGUAGAGUGCUGGAUAAUUCCCUCCUUAUCUAUAAUGAAAAGCCCUCUCAAUGCAAUUCCCUGCCUUUCAAAGUUAACUUUGUAAGAAACAUAUGGUACAGAUCAUAUUUGCAAUAAAGAAGUGCUCAGUGUGGGGAAAAGUCUAGUAGUUGAUAGAGAGAAUGACAAGAGAGAGUGAGUGAGGUGGCAUGGCUCUGAAAACAGCUUCCAGUUCUCAACUUAUCAAGUGUUUCAAAUAACUUGUUUUGUUCUUUUUGAAUGCAAAACCUCUUUGUUUGACCACAAUUUUCUUAGCUUAACAAACACUAAAUUCCAAGAUUUCAGCCAAUUUUCAAAAAUCAGGACAUCUAUACCUGAUCAGGAAUCAACACUCCAUAGGAUUUGGAAAUUGUCUUGGUGAUAUCAGAUAUAAGUGGAUAUUUCAAAUCACCAAGACCACCUGACUUUCUCUCUGUUUGAACCCAGGCAAGGUGAGAGAACUGCAUAAAUAAUAAGUUGAGAUUAAGUUCUAUUUACUUAAUCUAAACUAUAAUGCAACAAAGUAAACUUCAACAUAAAAUGACAAAUGCGGAUGCUUCAACGAUGUAUUAAUGCUUAGUUAUACUAAACAAUAACUAUAAUCUAAGCUAUAAUAAACAUACGUAUUACAUAGACUUCAAGCAAAAAUUAAAAAUGCAGAGCAUCAGAAGCAAACAUACAAAAUCCACUAGAAUCAUAGCCUUUAGUAAUAUCAACUUUUACAUGAUAUAUAAGUUGAUAAGCAGGUUUACAGUGAUUGCAAAACUUUCCAGAUUGAAUAAAGUAACACAUAUUAAAUUGUUUGCGGAUCACUAAUACAUCGUUGAAUGCAGUAUUUUUUUGCAACUAGGACAGGAACAUUCUCUAUUGUUUUUCCUCUCCUAUUAAACAUCUCCUUGAUCCACUCUGAAAUGCUUGCUAUAACAGCAUUUCACCCAGGUUAAAAAGAAAACCAUUAGCAUUUCAUUAGUGCUACUACAAAUCUUCUAGAAUUGUGGACAUAAAAUGUAGGAUCAUAAGAAUAUAGAUAAACAAUUACUUCACAAAACAUUUAGAGUACAGUGCACUAGCAACAUAGGAUAAUGAGGAAAAGAAGUAUUUUGUAAUACAAUGCAGAUAUCUUUAACAACCUUUGGUAAGACAAUGUGCAACUCUGUGACUAUAUGAUAGGCCCACUACAGUGAUGAUUAUAAAAUUGCAAAUCAUUAUAAUCAUGUAUCUUCAAAAUUAGUCAAUGACAGCCAAACAUAACUAACAUCAUUACCUACGCUACACAAGACAAAAAGGUGACUCAACCAGGAAUGCAACACAAUUUAUUCAAGAAAAAAAAUAACAGCCAGAACCAGAUUAAACUGAACCAGGUUAGAUGUUAUCAGGGAAAAGGAGGCAACAUUUGACCCAAAAGUGAAUUGUCCACUCAAACUGUCCAAAAUCCAAGACCACCCAACCUGCAUUAACUCAAAACUGCCAACAAGCUGAAACUGAACAUACCUGAAAGUCUAUUGCCACGUCUAUACAUAACCAACUAGCAAAAUACUUAAGACUAAGAUGAAGAUGGAAGCACUCAUUUAAGAAUCUGCUGUGCCUGUAGGAAACUACUAACUUUUAUUACGGGAAAAGAAAUAUACACAAUUUUCGCUAUGACAAUAGGAAACAGCUAGGAAUGAAGAAUAGAAGUUUUUCUUUCACCUUCUUUUGGUAACAAGGAACUUACCACACUAUCAGUAGAAACACCUAAUAUUUCUGUGUUUAGCUUCUCAAAUUCUUCAUAGCGGUCACUGAAAGCAGUAAUCUCUGCAAGCAGGAAGAAAUUUGGGGAGGUAGAAGUAAGAAGAGGAUCCAAUAUCAUAGAAAAUUUCAGUUUAAAUGUUCAAAGUGAAACAAACCUGUAGGGCAAACAAAUGUAAAGUCCAAUGGGUAGAAGAAGAGAAUCACAUAUUUCUUCCCAAUGUAUUCAGAGAGCUUGACCUGAAACAAUGAUCCAUUAUUUAGAAUAAAAUUGGAAAAAAAUUCAUUUUAAAAGGGUAAAAAAAGCUGAAGUGCCUAAAAAUAAUUCAGUACAAAUAUCCACAUAAAAUACCUUAAUGAACUCCUGAUCAAAGACAGCCUCUGCCUCAAAAUCGGGAGCAGUAUUUCCUACCAGUGGAAGAUCACUCUGCAAGAAGAUGCACAAAAUGAGAAAACCAUAUGAGAAAUUAUGCAGAUACAGAAACAGAAUAUAACCUGAAAACAAUAAUGUGCCAUCAAAAAAUUCAGAAUUUGUUUAGAAUAUACAAGUUCAUGACUAUUUUUUGAAUUUCACUUAACAUUUGUAAUUUGAUCCGCACUUUUUAUUAAUCAACAAAAUUAUAGAUUUUAAACAUACUAAUUCAUUUAAAACUUCAUUCUCAAAUGAUAUAAAUAACCAUUUUUAUUUGGUUCCCCACAAAAUUUACCAGUGGAGCCGGCUUUAGCUUACGAUUUUGUCUUUUCAAUGGGGUCAAAGACGCACAUUCACCGAGCUAAUCCUUCACUGGGUACACUCAUCAUAAUAAAAUUUUCCAUCUUUGUUUAAAAAAUCAAAACCGGUUCCCAAUUUCUCAUUUUUAACUCAUUCUAAUCAAUUCCUUCUUAAAAUGACUACAAUGUUCACUAAGCGGAGCUAAAGCCAGUACAUCCUAAUAAAUUUAGGUUUCAAUUGUUCGCAUUAAUAAAAUAAACAAUUAAAUAAUUAUAAAGGGAAUAAAUAUAAUACGCUGGCUUUGACGACGAAACUCUUCCGAGAAUGGCAGGCGCGGGAGAGGGAAACGGAGCGGGCGACACGAGAAAGUAGAGGGGCACGGAGACCGGUGAAGGAAUUGGGGAGAGGAAGAGAUUGGGAGAUGGGGUUGGAUUUGGUAGAGAAAGCCCUAGGGUUUGAUGAGAAGAGAGCCACGGUGGUUGAAGUAGCAGAGUAAGCCAUCUCUCUCACUCACUAGGCUUCGAGACGGAAGAGUGUGAGGCGUACAAAUGAAAUUUCCAGUGGGUAAGAGGAUAAGUGGACAGCGUGGGUUUGGGUUUGGACCGUUUGGUAGGUUUUAUAUUGGUUUACGGGCUCCACACAUUAGGGGCAACCGGAGAUCUCGGUGAACUAAAAUGUGAAGGACGUUUCCUCCUUUUCUUUAGAUUUUUUUUUUAAUUUAGCUUUUGGGCUAAUAGCCCAAUUUUCCAUGUCGUAGCUCUUGAAAAAAAAGUGUAAUUUUCCAACAAAUAAAGGCUCAAUUAAUUAAAUGAUUAAUUAAUCGAACUCGAAAAUUUUAAAUUAAAUUUUAAUUUUGAGUCAAAGAGAUGUCCAUUUUUUAACAUAAUAAACUUAUUUUUACUAAUAAUCGUUGUGUGGCUUUUCGAUAAAACAUUAAAUUUUUAUUUUUAUCAGAAUUUAAUCAAUAGUAAAACUCAAAUAUUAAAAUAAAAAAAAUUAUUUAUACUUUUGAGAAGCCCAAUUUUUUAAGGUACAUCUUUAAGGAGUACUAAUGGUAGCCAAGGUCUAACCCAAGAAACUUGGGCCAUGUCCAUUUCCCUUUCAUCUCCCUUGUUGGCAAAUGGAACAUUACCCAUUUUUGUCCAAAUUCGACGAACCAUUAUCUUUAGAAUUCAGAUGGCAAUCUGGCUAACAAUCUAUCUUCGAAUCAUAAAGUUUUUGGAGCCCUUAUCCUCUCUCUUUCUGUCUCCAAUUUUCCCGCCUUUAUUUUUCGCUUUCCUGACCAGAAAAAACAAAAACGUAGACACCACCACACCAUGCAAGACGCACUCCCUUCCCCCCCCCCCCCCACCCACCACCACCACCUUCCCUCCUCCCAAUAUUCACUUUCCUUCUCCGCGAAGCCUGUGUCAACGCCUCCGAUUUAAAUAAAGUAAUCAACCGACGGCCCAGAUUACUCACAUGCAACUUGGAAACUCAUCUGCGUCCCACCCUAUAUUUCCUCCAAAACAUCGGAAUCUCCGAGGUCAAGAAACACACUUACUUACUGUUUUGCAGCGUGGAACAUAAACUGAUUCCUUGUUGCGAACACUUCCAAAAGAUCGGAUUCUCUUACAGACAAACGAUUUUGAUGUUUCGUAGAUUUCCCCAACUGUUUAAUUACAGUGUUAAGGAAAAUUACGAGCCGACAUUAAAUUAUUUCGUGGUGGAAAUGGGGAGAGAUUUGAGAGAAAUUAAAGAGUUUCCUCAGUAUUUUGUCGUUUAGCUUGGAAAAUAGGAUAAAGCCAAGGCACCGAUGUUGUCUUGAAAAAGGGUUUAGUUUUCCUUUGCCUGUUUUGUUAAAGACAAGUGAAGUUGAGUUUCGCAAUGGAUUGGAGGUUUGUUGUAAUUCCACGUUGCCGGUUAAGGGCUCUCCUUUGUGGUCUACAAAAAAUUGUGAUCUUUAAUACUAUGAUUCAAUAUACAGUAAAAAGAAAUGAAUUGAUUUUUAUUGACUGGUAUUUCGUUUUCAUAUCAUGUAAAAAUUUUGUGAUUGGAAUCUGAAACUAAAAUGGGU
This 41338-nucleotide long non-coding RNA is filed under the name Durio zibethinus. Its description in RNAcentral is "long non-coding RNA (DZIB_LNC002349)". The record is from RNAcentral. Lineage: Eukaryota; Viridiplantae; Streptophyta; Magnoliopsida; Malvales; Malvaceae.